Molecule: ribosomal RNA, 488 nt
Filed under: uncultured bacterium
Lineage: Bacteria
Description: partial 16S ribosomal RNA
Rfam family: Bacterial small subunit ribosomal RNA
Source: RNAcentral
GACGAACGCUGGCGGCGUGCUUAACACAUGCAAGUCGAACGGAAAGGCCCUGCUUUUGUGGGGUGCUCGAGUGGCGAACGGGUGAGUAACACGUGAGUAACCUGCCCUUGACUUUGGGAUAACUUCAGGAAACUGGGGCUAAUACCGGAUAGGAGCUCCUGCUGCAUGGUGGGGGUUGGAAAGUUUCGGCGGUUGGGGAUGGACUCGCGGCUUAUCAGCUUGUUGGUGGGGUAGUGGCUUACCAAGGCUUUGACGCGUAGCCGGCCUGAGAGGGUGACCGGCCACACGGGAACUGAGACACGGACCAGACUCCUAAGGGAGGCAGCAGUGGGGAAUAUUGGACAAUGGGCGCAAGCAUGAUCCAGCCAUAGCGCGUGGGUGAAGAAGGCCUUCGGGGUGGAAAGCCCUUUUGUUGGGAAAGAAAAGCAGCAGGUUAAUACCCCGCGGGUCUGACGGUACCCAAAGAAUAAGCACCGGCUAACUUCGUG